GCGACACUAAAUAAAAUAUCACUAAUGGCCAUUGGCCUUAUUACAUUAUUAUAGCAAAAGAAAAGACUCCUAACUAUUUGGUCCCAGUAGGACCUUCCUCAGAUUCGGUAUUCUUGCCUCCCUCAUACAGCUGCAUCACUCGUGCAUCCCUAACAAUAGGUAGGCUUGAGCCAAAUGUCUGUCUGCGCCUCCCUCAGGAUUCUGAUAGUCUUUGAUCCUUUGCAAGAACUUUCCUUCCAACUCUACCAGACCUUGCUCCAAAAAGGUUGUUGGCGUUCACAGCCAUAUUUCUCCACUCGUUGAUUAGCUUCUUGUGGGCUUCCUAUAUUUCCCGAUGUUCAUUUUCACAUUCCCUCAUUCUCUUACGCAGUUGAUUGUACUUGACCUGCACUUCAAUUUUCUAGUCAAUAAUUCUGUGACUAUGGAUGAACCCCGGAUGACCCAAACCAAUGUGAUCAUCUUCUAACCAACCUGUGUAGUGCGGCACACACCCGGCAUGAUACUUGUCUAGUUCAAUAGAAUCCUUCCCUAGAAAGAGCUUGCAGUGCCACAUAUGCUAAGUGUGACACCAGUGCGGG
RNAcentral lists this long non-coding RNA (578 nucleotides) under Nicotiana benthamiana. RNAcentral describes it as "long non-coding RNA (NBEN_LNC034843)". Lineage: Eukaryota; Viridiplantae; Streptophyta; Magnoliopsida; Solanales; Solanaceae. The record is from RNAcentral.